GGGGGGACCAUCCUCCAAGGCUAAAUACUACUGACUGACCGAUAGUGAACCAGUACCGUGAGGGAAAGGCGAAAAGAACCCCUGUGAGGGGAGUGAAAUAGAACCUGAAACCGUGUACGUACAAGCAGUAGGAGCAGGCUUUGUCCUGUGACUGCGUACCUUUUGUAUAAUGGGUCAGCGACUUAUAUUCAGUGGCAAGGUUAACCAUCUAGGGGAGCCGUAGGGAAACCGAGUCUUAACUGGGCGUUCAGUCUCUGGAUAUAGACCCGAAACCAGGUGAUCUAGCCAUGGGCAGGUUGAAGGUUGAGUAACAUCAACUGGAGGACCGAACCGACUAAUGUUGAAAAAUUAGCGGAUGACUUGUGGCUAGGGGUGAAAGGCCAAUCAAACCUGGAGAUAGCUGGUUCUCCCCGAAAGCUAUUUAGGUAGCGCCUCGGACGAAUACUACUGGGGGUAGAGCACUGUUAAGGCUAGGGGGUCAUCCCGACUUACCAACCCUUUGCAAACUCCGAAUACCAGUAAGUACUAUCCGGGAGACACACGGCGGGUGCUAACGUCCGUCGUGGAGAGGGAAACAACCCAGACCGCCAGCUAAGGUCCCAAAUUACUACUAAGUGGGAAACGAUGUGGGAAGGCUCAGACAGCCAGGAUGUUGGCUUAGAAGCAGCCAUCAUUUAAAGAAAGCGUAAUAGCUCACUGGUCGAGUCGGCCUGCGCGGAAGAUGUAACGGGGCUAAGUAGUAAACCGAAGCUGCGGCAAUAUACUUUUGUAUAUUGGGUAGGGGAGCGUUCUGUAAGCGGUUGAAGGUGUGUGGUAACGCAUGCUGGACGUAUCAGAAGUGCGAAUGCUGACAUGAGUAACGAUAAAGGGGGUGAAAAACCUCCUCGCCGGAAGACCAAGGGUUCCUGUCCAACGUUAAUCGGGGCAGGGUAAGUCGACCCCUAAGGCGAGGCCGAAAGGCGUAGUCGAUGGGAAACGGGUUAAUAUUCCCGUACUUCUUACAAUUGCGAUGGGGGGACGGAGAAGGCUAGGUGGGCCUGGCGACGGUUGUCCAGGUUCAAGUGCGUAGGCUUAAGAGUUAGGUAAAUCCGGCUCUUUUUAAGGCUGAGACACGACGUCGAGCACCUACGGGUGUGAAGUCAUUGAUGCCAUGCUUCCAGGAAAAGCCUCUAAGCUUCAGAUUGUAAGGAAUCGUACCCCAAACCGACACAGGUGGUCGGGUAGAGAAUACCAAGGCGCUUGAGAGAACUCGGGUGAAGGAACUAGGCAAAAUGGUACCGUAACUUCGGGAGAAGGUACGCUCUCGACGGUGAAGUCCCUUGCGGAUGGAGCUAUUGAGAGUCGCAGAUACCAGGUGGCUGCAACUGUUUAUUAAAAACACAGCACUGUGCAAAAUCGUAAGAUGACGUAUACGGUGUGACGCCUGCCCGGUGCCGGAAGGUUAAUUGAUGGGGUUAGACUUCGGUCGAAGCUCUUGAUCGAAGCCCCGGUAAACGGCGGCCGUAACUAUAACGGUCCUAAGGUAGCGAAAUUCCUUGUCGGGUAAGUUCCGACCUGCACGAAUGGCGUAAUGAUGGCCACGCUGUCUCCACCCGAGACUCAGUGAAAUUGAAAUCGCUGUGAAGAUGCAGUGUACCCGCGGCUAGACGGAAAGACCCCGUGAACCUUUACUACAGCUUGGCACUGAACAUUGACCCUACAUGUGUAGGAUAGGUGGGAGGCUUUGAAGCACGUACGCCAGUAUGUGUGGAGCCGUCCUUGAAAUACCACCCUUGUAGUGUUGAUGUUCUAACGUCGACCCCUUAUCGGG
Molecule: ribosomal RNA, 1810 nt
Filed under: Vibrio parahaemolyticus
Lineage: Bacteria; Pseudomonadati; Pseudomonadota; Gammaproteobacteria; Vibrionales; Vibrionaceae
Description: partial 23S ribosomal RNA
Rfam family: Bacterial large subunit ribosomal RNA
Source: RNAcentral